RNAcentral lists this unclassified non-coding RNA (353 nucleotides) under soil metagenome. Its description in RNAcentral is "partial contains 5.8S ribosomal RNA, internal transcribed spacer 2, and large subunit ribosomal RNA". The stretch from base 1 to 120 matches the Rfam family "5.8S ribosomal RNA", at positions 35 to 154 of the family's 154-position model. The record is from RNAcentral.
GAUGAAGAACGUAGCGAAAUGCGAUAAGUAAUGUGAAUUGCAGAAUUCAGUGAAUCAUCGAAUCUUUGAACGCACAUUGCGCCCGCCAGUAUUCUGGCGGGCAUGCCUGUUCGAGCGUCAUUACAACCCUCAGGCCCCCGGGCCUGGCGUUGGGGAUCGGCGGAAGCCCCCUGCGGGCACAACGCCGUCCCCCAAAUACAGUGGCGGUCCCGCCGCAGCUUCCAUUGCGUGGUAGCUAACACCUCGCAACUGGAGAGCGGCGCGGCCACGCCGUAAAACACCCAACUUCUGAAUGUUGACCUCGAAUCAGGUAGGAAUACCCGCUGAACUUAAGCAUAUCAAUAAGCGGAGGA